GCAUAUCAAUAAGCGGAGGAAAAGAAACUAACAAGGAUUCCCCUAGUAACUGCGAGUGAAGCGGGAAAAGCUCAAAUUUUGAAUCUGGCGGUCUUUGCAGACCGUCCGAGUUGUAAUCUAGAGAAGCGUCUUCCGCGCCGGCCCGUGUACAAGUCUCCUGGAAGGGAGCGUCUUAGAGGGUGAGAAUCCCGUCUCUGACACGGACCACCGGGGCUAUGUGAUGCGCUCUCGACGAGUCGAGUUGUUUGGGAAUGCAGCUCAAAAAGGGUGGUAAACUCCAUCUAAAGCUAAAUAUUGGCGAGAGACCGAUAGCGAACAAGUACCGUGAGG
This 330-nucleotide ribosomal RNA is filed under the name Boletus reticulatus. RNAcentral's name for it is "eukaryotic LSU rRNA". It matches the Rfam family "Eukaryotic large subunit ribosomal RNA", at positions 38 to 358 of the family's 3401-position model. The record is from RNAcentral. Lineage: Eukaryota; Fungi; Basidiomycota; Agaricomycetes; Boletales; Boletaceae.